GUGCCAGCAGCCGCGGUAAGACGAACUGUCCUAACGUUGUUCGGAAUCACUGGGCUUAAAGGGCGCGUAGGCGGUCCGACAAGUCAGGGGUGAAAUCCUGCAGCUUAACUGCAGAAGUGCCUUUGAUACUGUCGGUCUUGAGGGAGAUAGGGGUGUGCGGAACUCACAGUGGAGCGGUGAAAUGCGUUGAUAUUGUGAGGAACGCCGGAGGCGAAAGCGGCGCACUGGAUCUCUUCUGACGCUGAGGCGCGAAAGCUAGGGGAGCAAACGGGAUUAGAAACCCGAGUAGUCC
RNAcentral lists this ribosomal RNA (292 nucleotides) under uncultured bacterium. RNAcentral's name for it is "partial 16S ribosomal RNA". It matches the Rfam family "Bacterial small subunit ribosomal RNA", at positions 505 to 796 of the family's 1533-position model. The record is from RNAcentral.